Molecule: long non-coding RNA, 1816 nt
Filed under: Mus musculus (house mouse)
Lineage: Eukaryota; Metazoa; Chordata; Mammalia; Rodentia; Muridae
Description: long non-coding RNA chr1:153117331-153119147
Source: RNAcentral
UAUUUGAAAACAAGGGAGCAGAGACCCAGGGAGUCAGUGUCUUGUCCAGGAUCACUCAGUGCAUCCUGGGAAGUAUGAUGAGAAGAUGCUGCUUCCCUAGACAAAAGAAAACCAGGAGCCUGCGGGGAGACAUGGGUGACAUGGGCGACAUGGGGUUUUGAAGGCUCUAGAGCUGACAUGGCUCCACAAGAGCAGACCCCAGCAAGGCUACUUCCAUUUUGUUCCUUUGGUUCACUGUGUUUCUGUUCUGAACUCUUGUUGAGCUUCAUUCAGUCCAUAGCCUGGGAUAAGGAACCAGGUUAGCCCAGCAGCCUCAGGGGGCAACAGGCAGCUCAGAACAGGGAAGGAAGGAGAGGUGAGCUAAGAAAAGAAUCACACAGAAGAAGUGCAUUUCUGGGAAGCAGGUGGGCAGAUUGUAUCUUGUUAAGGCGUGUUAAAAAUGGUUUCCCCUUAACAGAGGUGAGUCCCCAUCCGGGUGGGAUUGUCCAUUCACUUCUCUGUCUCUUUCUCCCGUUGUUGGAUCAAGGGUAGGGGACCCCCCCCCGUACCCCCCAACCCUGCCCCUAAGGGGAGCACAAUGUGACUGUGACCUGCCGUGGCCAACACCAAAAAGACAGUUUAUAAGUGGUGCCUCAGGUGUCAUCAGGGUGACUUGGGUCUGUCUUUGGGGACCCAUUGUGAGAGCUAGCCUAUUACUGGCAUGGCACAGAGAUGGUAAUAAAGACACAAACUGCAGUGAUCCCAUCAUUUACUGCUGCCUGCCAUUUUUAAUGUCCCCGCCAUUUUUUUUAAAGCAGCUGAUAGAACAGAGAGGACAAACUUUAAUAACCCUCUCCUUAAGGAAUGAGGCUGGGCCUCCCUGGAUUAAUUGUCUGAGCCACACACUCCCCAUCCCAGGUAGCCUCUGGGCCCCUGGCUUUCACUUUCCUUGAAUGUACAUUGGACCAGCAAGGGAAGUCUCUUACUGAAGUGCCUGAAUUCACAGCUGAAGUCUUAGAGACACUGGCCUUCCUGUUUUGGCUUGGCUACAAGUUCUAGUCUCCAGUUUCAGGAUCUCUAAAAGGAUUCAUGAACACUCUAUUCAAAUAAGUGGGAAGUAAAACUUGAUAAUCAAACUGUAUCAAAAGCCAGAGGAUUUUAGGGAGCCCCCACCCUCACCCUCAUCCCUACCCCCGAUGUUCUCAUACAUGCUUGUAGGGGACUGAGAGAAGCAUGUCCAUGUAUUUGUGUUCCUAUUUUUAAAAGUAACGCAACACCAGGUGUGGUGGCACAUACCUGUGAUCCCAGCACUGAGAGGUGGAGGCAGGAGGACCAGGGGUUCAAGCCCAGCCUCUGGGCACAGAAGACCUUGUCUCAAAACAAAAGCAGCAAUGUAAAACCAGGAUGGGACAGUCUCAGGACCUCUCCUCGUGUUACAGCAGGAGGGCUACAAAGAGUGGAGGUGGGAAGACUUUAUAGCGCAUGUAGGUAGGACACCUUGGAGAUAUCCUAUGGUAAUGAGGAUGGGUGUACUCUGCCACGCUGAUCCAACCUGUACUGUCCUGUGAGCUGACUGGUGAAUUCCACUCUUGAUGUGGUUUCUGUGUAGUGUGCAUUUGGAAGUGUCCUAGUAGCCUGUUCUAGUUAGUUAGACUGCAGCCCUUUCCCAUCACCUUCAGUGGAGUCCCAGGGCACACAGCUCAUCUCGAUCCUUGUGGGUUGGAAUGGGGAGGAGGAAGCUUUUUUUUUUUUAAUUUUUUAAAAAAUCAUAUCUGCUAAUUUAAGAGUGAGAUUUGCUUUAUGGAAGUCAACUCAAUAAAAACUGCAUUCGAGUUGC